ACCCACCCACUCCGCCGUGGCAGUGAAUGAGUUACUGCUGGUGCAGUGUAUGAGCCUGGUGCGCCCCUCCCUGGUUGGACCGCACGCCGCUGGUCGGCAGUCUGCAGACGGAUGUUGCCGCAUCCCGGCGCGCCGCGCUCCGCCACCAGGCUGCGUUCUUCUCCAAAUGUGCCAAAUCUCCUCCUCUGUUCUCCUGUCUCCGCCUGAGACGCGCACACACACGCACCGCCGACGCUCCUCUCCGGGUUCUAGUCACACAACUCUCCGCUAAAGUGGCUCAUCAUCCAGAACGGUUUCCCAGAGACUAUGGGUUGAGGAGGAAUUGGAAGUUUGUCGGCUUAGACCUGGUGUCAUUCCAUCAGUGUUAAACUUCCCGGCUCAUCUUGGAAGAGUAUGUGCCAGAAAGACCACAACCAAGCAGCCUUGAGAUCUUAGGCAGCGUCUCCCUGAGGUCCCUCUCUAUCUCCCCACACAUCCACCAACCACUGGAACACAUCUCCAAAGUUCUGCCGGGCCAGCUCAGCUUCUCCUCAGAAGAAGUGCCGCCACCUGCCAGAUGAAGGAGCCUUUUGAGAGUCAGCUGGCAUCAUGAUUGGACUGUACUUUGGUCUGUUCCAAUCCAGCUUCAGCUCCAGAGACGGCAGGCGGGACGAGUCAACGGAGGCCUGGUGGACGAAGGCAUGCAGCUGAGUACAAUCCAGAAAACAACAGAGGAGGAGUGCAGUGGCUCAGGGCCAGAACAACCAGAGUAGCAUCGUAUGUCUCUUAGAAAACAUCAUAGUAUAGCCUUUGGGAUGAAAAAAUGGCAUAAUAUACAUUGUAUAUUGUACAAAUAACAAGUCAAAGGAAAGAGACAUACAUUGUAGAAUUGUAGUAAUUGUGGGCUGACUGAUUUACUGAUUAUCAGUAUUUAUUUUUUACUGAUUUAUGGUAAUAAAUACAUUUAAAAAUGGUGCUACUUUGGCUCUGAACCUUAAUCUACCUGUGGUCGCUUUGUCUUCUGGAGUGAUUUGAUUGGUUAUACGUCACGAAUAAAACUCCCUUAACAUCUGUAAACAAAACAAAAACGUAUCAACAAAGUUUUCUGUUAGAGUUUGUUUAACUCCAAGAUUUCAAAUACUUUCAUUUACUGCAAAUGAAUAUCUACCCCAAAUGUCUCACUAAUAAUCAUUAUCAGCCUUAAAACCCACAAAACACCCCUCUAUACUCGACCACACUUAGUACAGUCCGGUUCCCCCUUCUAUAAAUCUGCUUGGAAUCUUCCACUUCCUGUUUGUCAAAGUGGCCUUCUACUUGGACAGGUUUUGUUGGAGCUCAUGCAACAAACAUUUUGGGUAACUACACUUUAAUAUGGAUGGAUGACACUGAAUUAGAGUCUGUUUUAAUGAGACUGAGUUAAGAUGUGUAGCUCUGUCAUUAAAUAGUAAAUUAUUUCUCUGAAUUCAAAGAGAAAAGUCUGAAAUGUUUGCUAGGUUAGCAUCCCACAUGUUCUUUGGCUCAGCUAAAGCUAACUCUCUCCAACUUCUGGAUCUCUUGAGUUGCUUGUUGUUAAAAUAUCUUGCUGUAGGUGCUGAAGCUCAGAAAGUCUGAGAUGUUUGUUCAAAAUAAGCUCAUUCUCAAGUCUUAUCUGAACUGUCCUCUUUUGUUUGAACUUUCCCUAAACUUAGGAGUUAAUGACAGAGCAGCACAUCCAGACUCCGUCUCAUUUAUGUAGAGAUUAAACUGCAGUGUCAUUCAUUGAUGUUAAAGUGCAGUUUUUCAAAUGUUUGUUGCACAUGCUCCCGACCAAACCAGUCCAGGUGGAAGACGAUGUGAAGAGAAAGCUCCAGAGGAUGAAUAUCACACAUUUACGUUGGAAAUAAAUGUCCUUUAAUUAGACAUUGUCAUGCAAAAGUUGGAUUUCCCUUUUAAUGAUGUUCAAAUCUUUGAGUGUUUUGUUGAUGUUGGUUUCUAAAUGUUUUCUGACACUCGGCCCCAAAGAUUAAAACCUUCUACGGCUCACAAGCUGCAACAAUUCACACAUUAUCAACUAUCUUUCUGACUAAACUAAGAUAAGAAGUGAAAAACUGUCUGAUUCCUGCAUCAUGAAUGUAAAUCUUUUUGGUUUUUAUGACAGUAAACUGAAUAUAUUUGGGCUUGACAUUUUGUAAACCAAAACAAGAAAUGAAUUACUGGAGAAAACGACAGAGUAAUGGACAAAGAAAAUGUGUUUUCUAAAAUAUAUGGCUGAAUUAUUCCAACAUUACAAGAUACAUACAAUUUUAAUUCAAUUUUAUUUAUAUAAUGCCAAUUACAGGUCAAAUUGUCUCAAGACGCUUUAUUUUUAUAUUUUUUGUCAUAUUUAAAAUAUGACUAAGAAAUUUAAACCUCUUGACUAAUCCAAUUCAUUAUUUGGUUUUUAAGAGACUAAUGGACAAUUAAAAUAACUUUCUCCACUAAAACUAAUAAACAUGAGGUCAAAUAAAAGGAACAGUUUUAAAUACUGCAGUCCCACGACGACAAGAAUAAAGUUUGUCAACAAAAACUAAAUUUGCUGGUGGAUUCCAUUAAAGUCCUAAUAAAUGAUAAUAAAGUGUGAUACUAAAGGUUUGUGGUGCUAAAAAUCUCCAAGAUAUCAGGUUGAUGCAGGUUAAUAAUAAAUAAAUAAAUAAUAAAUAAAAUUGAAUUAAAUUGAAUUGAUAAAAGUUGACCUUCUUUCAUUUCUCUGGAGCGACUCCAUGUAUUUUAUGGUGGUUAAAGACCUGCUCUUCUAGUGGUCUUCCUUCUAGUCACUGCAAAAAGUCAGUCCAUCCUGGCCGACUUCAACACCUCUUCAUGACAACUUGUUCUGCCUCCGACCUGGUGGAAACUCCAGAAACUCGGGAAAACCUGUCGAGACUCCAGGAACUCGUGGA
Molecule: long non-coding RNA, 2894 nt
Organism: Amphiprion ocellaris (clown anemonefish)
Lineage: Eukaryota; Metazoa; Chordata; Actinopteri; Pomacentridae
Exons: 3
Source: RefSeq, a predicted model, not a curated record